GAGAGAAGGAGCUUGCUUCUUCGAUCGAGUGGCGAACGGGUGAGUAACGCGUGAGGAACCUGCCUCAAAGAGGGGGACAACAGUUGGAAACGACUGCUAAUACCGCAUAAGCCCACGGGUCGGCAUCGACCUGAGGGAAAAGGAGCAAUCCGCUUUGAGAUGGCCUCGCGUCCGAUUAGCUAGUUGGUGAGGUAAUGGCCCACCAAGGCGACGAUCGGUAGCCGGACUGAGAGGUUGAACGGCCACAUUGGGACUGAGACACGGCCCAGACUCCUACGGGAGGCAGCAGUGGGGAAUAUUGCACAAUGGGGGAAACCCUGAUGCAGCGACGCCGCGUGGAGGAAGAAGGUCUUCGGAUUGUAAACUCCUGUUGUUGAGGAAGAUAAUGACGGUACUCAACAAGGAAGUGACGGCUAACUACGUGCCAGCAGCCGCGGUAAAACGUAGGUCACAAGCGUUGUCCGGAAUUACUGGGUGUAAAGGGAGCGCAGGCGGGAAGACAAGUUGGAAGUGAAAUCUAUGGGCUCAACCCAUAAACUGCUUUCAAAACUGUUUUUCUUGAGUAG
RNAcentral lists this ribosomal RNA (566 nucleotides) under uncultured bacterium. RNAcentral describes it as "bacterial SSU rRNA". It matches the Rfam family "Bacterial small subunit ribosomal RNA", at positions 68 to 649 of the family's 1533-position model. The record is from RNAcentral.